CCUACGGGAGGCAGCAGUGGGGAAUAUUGCGCAAUGGGCGAAAGCCUGACGCAGCGACGCCGCGUGAGGGAUGAAGGUCUUCGGAUCGUAAACCUCUGUCAGCAGGGAAGAACGGUCACUGUGCUAAUCAGCAGUGAAUUGACGGUACCUGCAAAGGAAGCACCGGCUAACUCCGUGCCAGCAGCCGCGGUAAUACGGAGGGUGCGAGCGUUAAUCGGAAUUACUGGGCGUAAAGCGCUCGUAGGCGGUAUGUCAAGUCAAGGGUGAAAGCUCCGGGCUCAACGUGGGAAUUGCCUUUGAAACUGGCAGACUGGAGUGUGUGAGAGGAUAGUGGAAUUCGAGGUGUAGGAGUGAAAUCCGUAGAUAUCUGGAAGAACAUCAAUGGCGAAGGCGACUAACUGGCACAUAACUGACGCUGAGGAGCGAAAGCGUGGGUAGCAAACAGGAUUAGAUACCCCAGUAGUC
Molecule: ribosomal RNA, 465 nt
Filed under: uncultured bacterium
Lineage: Bacteria
Description: partial 16S ribosomal RNA
Rfam family: Bacterial small subunit ribosomal RNA
Source: RNAcentral